GAUGAACGCUAGCUACAGGCUUAACACAUGCAAGUCGUGGGGCAGCACGGGAAGCAGCAAUGCUUUUGGGUGGCGACCGGCGAAUGGGUGAGUAACGAGUAUCCAACCUGCCCCGUGCUCCGGGACAGCCCCGCGAAAGCGGGAUUAAUACCGGAUGGUGCGUGUUUCCCGCAUGGGAUAUACGUCAAAGAUUCAUCGGCACGGGAUGGGGAUGCGUCCGAUUAGCUGGUUGGCGGGGUAACGGCCCACCAAGGCUAUGAUCGGUAGGGGUUCUGAGAGGAAGGUCCCCCACAUUGGAACUGAGACACGGUCCAAACUCC
Molecule: ribosomal RNA, 320 nt
Filed under: uncultured Bacteroides sp.
Lineage: Bacteria; Pseudomonadati; Bacteroidota; Bacteroidia; Bacteroidales; Bacteroidaceae
Description: bacterial SSU rRNA
Rfam family: Bacterial small subunit ribosomal RNA
Source: RNAcentral